AUGUUUAGUAAAAUUAAAUCUCUGGAAGAGGACAAAGUCAGACACAGUGCAUUGUGGGCUAAGACUGAAAAAAGAAUUAAGGAACUAGAGAGUAAUCAACAAACUAUGCAGGACCUGGUGAGACAGCAACAAGAAGAGAUCCAGAAGCUAAUUCAAGAGGCCGCCAAUAGAGAACAGUAUGAAAUGGAGUUAGCUAAUAUGGAUAUGGAGGAGUAUGAAAAGGAAAAUCAACAGGGAAAGGAAGAAACCGGGUCUGGAAAAUACAAUGAACCUACUGACUAUAAUGCCAGUCAAGAAUCAAUAGGGACCCUGGGUGAAAAAAUGGCUGACAUACAUGGAAUGGAGGUCUUGGAAAAGGAUGGGGAGGAGAGAGAAGUGGAAAUUAAAAGAAGUCUCGGGAACAAAGGAAAAGAAGAUCAGAAAAUAGAGGAGAUGGCAAAGAUUAGAGCUGAGGAAAGGGACAAUUAUGAUAAAGGAGCCGUCAAGAAAACUGCUGGAGCUGGGAGCAAGAGUGCUAGAACGGGCAGCAAGUGA
This 534-nucleotide ribosomal RNA is filed under the name Triticum aestivum (bread wheat). RNAcentral's name for it is "partial small subunit ribosomal RNA". The record is from RNAcentral. Lineage: Eukaryota; Viridiplantae; Streptophyta; Magnoliopsida; Poales; Poaceae.